CCCGUGCUACAACCGCGCAGAACAGGUUUUAAAACUGCUGUCUGCAGUACCUGAAUGGCGAGUCUGAGUUUAAAG
RNAcentral lists this small RNA (75 nucleotides) under Oceanobacillus oncorhynchi. Lineage: Bacteria; Bacillati; Bacillota; Bacilli; Caryophanales; Bacillaceae. The record is from RNAcentral.